Molecule: ribosomal RNA, 432 nt
Filed under: uncultured bacterium
Lineage: Bacteria
Description: partial 16S ribosomal RNA
Rfam family: Bacterial small subunit ribosomal RNA
Source: RNAcentral
ACGAACGCUGGCGGCAUGCCUAACACAUGCCAGUCGCACGAGACCUUCGGGUCUAGUGGCGCACGGGUGCGUAACGCGUGGGAACCUGCCCUUAGGUUCGGAAUAACUCCCCGAAAGGGGUGCUAAUACCGGAUAAUGUCUUCGGACCAAAGAUUUAUCGCCUUUGGAUGGGCCCGCGUUGGAUUAGCUAGUUUGUAGGGUAAAAGCCUACCAAGGCGACGAUCCAUAGCUGGUCUGAGAGGAUGAUCAGCCACACUGGGACUGAGACACGGCCCAGACUACUACGGGAGGCAGCAGUGGGGAAUAUUGGAAAAUGGGCGAAAGACUGAUCCAGCAAUGACGCGUGAGUGAUGAAGGCCUUAGGGUUGUAAAGCUCUUUUAACCGGGAUGAUAAUGACAGUACCGGGAGAAUAAGCUCCGGCUAACUCCGUG